AUGAUAGUGAUGUUUGAAGGCGAUGUGUCUUUUUGUUUUGCUUCUAUUUUGUUGCUUGUUUUACUGUUUGCGUUUGGAUGCAUGAACGCUUUUGUUUCCAUCGUUGCGCCUAUUUUGGAGUUCCCAGGAGAAUCACAGCAGCUACCAACGGACGCAGAAGAGAUAUGUGCCAUAUUUUCUCCAGCCGAAGAACAUUCCGUCAAUGACCAGCCUAAAGAACAGCCAGAUGAGGAUGAGGUGGCAAGCAUGGAAGUAACCCACAGGCCACAGCCAGUUUUCUUCAUAUGCGGCAUUGUACAAACAAUAUGA
RNAcentral lists this ribosomal RNA (309 nucleotides) under Triticum aestivum (bread wheat). RNAcentral describes it as "partial small subunit ribosomal RNA". Lineage: Eukaryota; Viridiplantae; Streptophyta; Magnoliopsida; Poales; Poaceae. The record is from RNAcentral.